AAAUCUUUAACUUCAACGGAAAAUAAUAUCCAAUCUGUUCGAUCGAAUGCCUGCAUGCAGUUCAUUCAUUUUGCCGGUAAUUCCCAACCAUAGAGAAACUCAUUGUCUAUGUCUUUUAACAUUUUGACUGCCCAAUUUUUUACAAAGCAACGGCUCAUUCUCAUUCAAUAGAUUGAGACAUGCGCACAGAAUAAAACAAUUAAGAAUGUUAACUAAUUUUGAUUAUUACCACCCAAUAGUCUCUGUCAAAAUAAAAAAUACUAGUGAAAGAAUUACUUCAAUAUGUCAAUUAGUUUCCGAUUUAGAAGUAAAAGAAGUUGUAACAUGAUGCCGGUUCGAUUGUGACGUCGUCGCACAACACGCUCAGUCUGGCUCACAGCUCUCUCGGUCCGCCGGCGCUGGCGGUCCCGCGCCCGUAUCGUUGUAAUUAUACUUUUAAUAAUGUCCAAUCCAACUACUUGGAAAUCAUGUGUUGUGCCUAAAUGUAAAAAUACAACUACCAAUUCACCGGCCACAUUGAUUUUCAUAGUUCCAAAGGACGUUAAAAUGCGAAAAAAUUUGAUAACAGCUAUGAAGAGGUUAGAUCCAUUUGGAGAUAAAAGUACAGUUAUUUGUUGUGAAGACCCUUUUGACGUACAUUGAAAAUGAUAUGGAGAACUAUACUAAAUAAAAAAUGGUCGGAGGAAGUAUUAAACUAAAACAGGGUAUAGUUCCACACAAAUUCAAAUGUCAACAGGAAAAGGAAGAUAAAACUCACAAAUCUGCAGUACAAAAACGUAAUCGUAUAGAAUAUUUUGAUAAACUACUAAUUAAAGAUGAAACUUCGAUGUUAGAACAACCUGAAAAGAUUCUUGUUAGCUGUGAAGACGAAAUAGUAAUAAAAGGUCCAUUACGUUCUAGAAAUAAUAAUCAGUGUUUAGAAAUAUUACAAAAAAGCAAGGGAGUGCAAGUAAAUCUGAAAGCUAAAGGUGACCAUAAAUCAACCAUGACUGUUAACAAAUUUAAAAAAAAAUAUAUGAAAAUAAUUUUUUGCAGUGUGUUUUGGUAGUAUGAACGACACAUUUCCGAACGCCUCUUCUCAUGAAAUGUUUCACCUUGAUCAAGAAUCGAAGAACCUUAAUGAAGAUUCAGAUUCAGAAACGGAAACGGAAUGCGAUACACUUUUUUUGAAUUUAUAUGCAAAAGACGGGGUUUUAUUAAUAGAAUGAUAUUUACUAUUAUUAAACUAUUAACUUAAUACGCCCACGAAAACCAAUCCAACAAAACACUGAGCCAUCUAUUACACCUACUAUAACCGCUGGCGACUUGAUACUGAGCGAGCGAGUUGUGAAAUGACGUCACAAGUGGUCACGUGACUGUUGGUGGCACUCGAUUUUUUUCGAAACUUUGAAUGCCUAUAACAUCACAACUGCUAGGUUUUUUUUAGAACAACAAAAACUAGUAUUUUUGUAUACUUACAGGCUUUACUGACACAACAUUUCAAGAGAUUUUUCAUACCUAGUAACAUUCUUUCCUGAUUCCAAAAGAUAAAACCGAUGUUCAAGUGUCUCAUGAGGCUACUUCUCUUGUCUAACCGUUAAAUGAUUUCAGCUCCAUAGUUUCAUUGUUUGUUUGGGGUGACAUACUUUUUCACAAUUUAUCACGUAAGAAAAUCACUGCAAUCUACAGAUAUUUAUCUCAGUAAAUGUACAGAAAAUUUGAGAAACUGCUGCAAUGUCUUGGGAUACUAUAGAAUCUCCGACAAGGAUUCGGAGUGUCAAACGUCAAGCUGGUGAAAUUGCACGCGAUGACUUAUAGCUUCUCGACAAGAAUAAAAUUGAGGUUGAAUUUUUGAACAGCCUUUUGAUUACUAAAUUAAUUUCAGUCAAGGAAAGAUUCGAACAGUUAAAUGAGUAGUCGGAUAACUGAUCUUUUUGUAACUGUAGUCUAAUAUCUUUUUUGCGCGACUAGAAUGGGGUUACUCUUAUUUGUUAUAAAUUUCGAAUAUCGCAACUUAAUAGAAGUGCAUCCAAAUGUAUGGGGCACUGCGAAUAUUAUUGAAUAUACCAGUAACGGCCGCUAGUGGGAAUAGAAGUUUUUAAAGCCGAAGCUCAUGAAAACCUAUCUUCGAUCAAAGAUGUCUCAACAACAAAAGUUGCUAACUUCGUAUAGUGUGGGAAGAAUCCUCUCCUAAGCUUUAUGAUCAAAGAAAAAAAUUGACAUAACUUCAUUAAACUACGAAAAUAUAAUUAUUGAAUAUAAGCAUAAAUGCAUUAUCUUUAUGUUUAGAGCAUCACAUAAAGCAUUUUGUUAUUUAUCUCAAGUAUUACGGUGUCUAAAUAUCAAUGUUUUUAUGCUACUUUAUAAGAGAUGAAAAUCAAAUGAAAGUAACCAGAGAAAACAGUGUCCAUUUUA
This is a long non-coding RNA of Danaus plexippus (monarch butterfly), 2394 nucleotides long. RefSeq lists it as uncharacterized. NCBI's taxonomy places the organism in Eukaryota, Metazoa, Arthropoda, Insecta, Lepidoptera, Nymphalidae. The transcript has 3 exons. The record is from RefSeq and is a predicted model, not a curated record.